RNAcentral lists this long non-coding RNA (626 nucleotides) under Malus domestica (apple). RNAcentral's name for it is "long non-coding RNA (MDOM_LNC020456)". Lineage: Eukaryota; Viridiplantae; Streptophyta; Magnoliopsida; Rosales; Rosaceae. The record is from RNAcentral.
AACCUGAAAACACACGAAAAUAGCUUAAAACACUCUAAUAAGCAAAAACUAGCUAUGAAAAUACAAGAAAACAAGCUAACUAAGUCGCAUAAAUAUGCUCCUAUCAAAUUCCCCCACACUUAGCUUUUGGUAGUCCUCGAGCAAAACGAAACAAACAAAAUAAUACCUAAACGUUCCAACGUUUGCCUCAGGGAUUUCCAAUGAAACAUGACACAUUAAAAAUCACUACUCCUAUAGAUUUUAGCUAUCCUUACCCUCGAUCACACAUUUAAUCGCAGUCACCACUCACUAGCUUGCAUUUAAUCAAUUAGUUUGAGUUCCUUCCUUCAAGCAUGUUACAAAAACUGAAUUUUUUCCUUUGUGAUUACAUGUAUAUUCGUUAAUGACAACUACAACCAAGUAUUAAUGAAAGAGCAGAUCAAACUUCCACCCGUGUUUGUGAUUUUCUUUAACAGUCAUGUACUUAAAAACCAAAUCCUCAUCAUUGUGUUGGAAGGUACCCUAAGACACAAACAAACACACAAAAACGACUCUUUUUGGGUUUUUCAAAACAUUUUUUCAAAUUUUCGUAUUUUGUUUCAAAACACACUAAAACACUUCAAAACACACUUAAAACACUUUAAAAC